CGGUGCAAUGAGACUAGCCUCGUGG
Molecule: non-coding RNA, 25 nt
Filed under: Mus musculus (house mouse)
Lineage: Eukaryota; Metazoa; Chordata; Mammalia; Rodentia; Muridae
Source: RNAcentral